AGCGAACGCUGGCGGCAGGCCUAACACAUGCAAGUCGAACGGAUCCUUCGGGAUUAGUGGCGGACGGGUGAGUAACACGUGGGAACGUGCCCUUUGGUUCGGAACAACUCAGGGAAACUUGAGCUAAUACCGGAUGUGCCCUUCGGGGGAAAGAUUUAUCGCCAUUGGAGCGGCCCGCGUCUGAUUAGCUAGUUGGUGAGGUAACGGCCCACCAAGGCGACGAUCAGUAGCUGGUCUGAGAGGAUGAUCAGCCACACUGGGACUGAGACACGGCCCAGACUCCUACGGGAGGCAGCAGUGGGGAAUCUUGCGCAAUGGGCGAAAGCCUGACGCAGCCAUGCCGCGUGAAUGAUGAAGGUCUUAGGAUUGUAAAAUUCUUUCAGCGGGGACGAUAAUGACGGUACCCGCACAAGAAGCUCCGGCUAACUUCGUG
This 433-nucleotide ribosomal RNA is filed under the name uncultured bacterium. Its description in RNAcentral is "partial 16S ribosomal RNA". It matches the Rfam family "Bacterial small subunit ribosomal RNA", at positions 29 to 507 of the family's 1533-position model. The record is from RNAcentral.